This 408-nucleotide unclassified non-coding RNA is filed under the name Hevea brasiliensis (rubber tree). Lineage: Eukaryota; Viridiplantae; Streptophyta; Magnoliopsida; Malpighiales; Euphorbiaceae. The record is from RNAcentral.
GAAAGCUUCAGGCAUACUUGGUGGGCCAAGGAACUCAUCUCCGACGGUUAUUUCUCCAGAUCAAUACAAGAAAAGGUUCAGGAAAGCAAUGACUACCUAUUUUCUAAUGGUCCCAGAUCAGUGGUCACCUCCCACUAUCAUUCCAAGUAAAUCCCAGUCAGAUUUGUUUGAAGAGAACUCACAAGGCGGGAAUUCAGUUGAAUGACACCGGGAGUCUGUAAGCUUGUACAUUUUACAUAUGCAUUUUGGGACAACAGUCCCACUUUAUUUUUCCCAUGUUCAUAUCUUUUUUCCUUAUAUUUUGAUUAUUUUUUUAGAGGAAUUAUAUGUUAGUUAAGAAUGAAAAGUCAUAAUUGUUUGUUAGGAGAAGCAGAAGAAGGCUGUUAAAGCCACAGGAAUUUCAGGAAG